GAUUUUAAAUUGAAGGGCUGCAGUAUAUUGACUGUACAAAGGUAGCAUAAUCAUUAGUCAUUUAAUUGAUGACUUGUAUGAAGGAUUGGAUGAAAUAUAACUCUGUCUCUUAAUUAAUAAUAGAAUUUAAUUUUUUAAUUAAAAAGUUAAAAUGAUUUAAAAAGACGAGAAGACCCUAUAGAGUUUUAUAAAUAAAUUAAUUAAGAUUAUUUAAUAAUAUAAAAUUAAAAUUAAUUUAUUUAUUUUAUUGGGGUGAUAGAAAAAUAUAUUUAACUUUUUUUUAACAAAAACAUUUAUAAGUGGUUAAAUGAUCCAGUAUUAUUGAUUAUAAGAAAAAAUUACCUUAGGGAUAACAGCGUAAUUUUUUUUUUUAGUUCAUAUAAGAAAAAGAGUUUGCGACCUCGAUGUUGGAUUAAGAUAAAAUUUAAAUGCAGAAG
Molecule: ribosomal RNA, 437 nt
Filed under: Pirateolea sp. PICAG3746
Lineage: Eukaryota; Metazoa; Arthropoda; Insecta; Lepidoptera; Noctuidae
Description: partial 16S large subunit ribosomal RNA
Source: RNAcentral